UACGUAGGGUGCGAGCGUUGUCCGGAAUUACUGGGCGUAAAGAGCUCGUAGGGGGUUUGUCGCGUUGUUCGUGAAAACUCACAACUCAAUUGUGGGCGUGCGGGCGAUACGGGCAGACUGGAGUACUGCAGGGGAGACUGGAAUUCCUGGUGUAGCGGUGGAAUGCGCAGAUAUCAGGAGGAACACCGGUGGCGAAGGCGGGUCUCUGGGCAGUAACUGACGCUGAGGAGCGAAAGCGUGGGGAGCAAACAGG
RNAcentral lists this ribosomal RNA (253 nucleotides) under uncultured bacterium. RNAcentral's name for it is "partial 16S ribosomal RNA". It matches the Rfam family "Bacterial small subunit ribosomal RNA", at positions 524 to 776 of the family's 1533-position model. The record is from RNAcentral.